Molecule: transfer RNA, 72 nt
Filed under: Streptococcaceae bacterium
Lineage: Bacteria; Bacillati; Bacillota; Bacilli; Lactobacillales; Streptococcaceae
Description: tRNA-Arg
Rfam family: tRNA
About the family: Transfer RNA (tRNA) molecules are approximately 80 nucleotides in length. Their secondary structure includes four short double-helical elements and three loops (D, anti-codon, and T loops).
Source: RNAcentral
GAGCUCGUAGUGUAAUGGAUAUCACGCAAGAUUCCGGUUCUUGCGAUGAGGGUUCGAUUCCCCCCGAGCUCA